UUUCCGUAGGUGAACCUGCGGAAGGAUCAUUAUUGGAUUUUGAAACUUCAGGCUGCUGCUGGCUCUCCUCGGAGGGCAUGAGCACGCUUGUUGUCCAUUAUUUCUCCCACUGUGCACAAAUUGUAGACCUUUCAGUAGGCCUAUGUUGUUUUUCACAAUCUCUGAAUGUAAUAGAAUGGUUUUGAAUCUUGGGAAAUACAAUACAACUUUCAGCAACGGAUCUCUUGGCUCUCGCAUCGAUGAAGAUCGCAGC
This 253-nucleotide unclassified non-coding RNA is filed under the name plant metagenome. RNAcentral describes it as "partial contains small subunit ribosomal RNA, internal transcribed spacer 1, and 5.8S ribosomal RNA". The stretch from base 205 to 253 matches the Rfam family "5.8S ribosomal RNA", at positions 1 to 49 of the family's 154-position model. The record is from RNAcentral.